GAAAUUCCAAGUGAAUAAUUAUUAUUGUUGGUCAGAAAAUCGUCCAUCUGGAUAAUGAUGAAAACUGAAAGUUAGUCAAAUGUUAUUUUUAUGUGGUUUUGCUUUCUUUUCCUAUUGUUGGUUGUAUUGGAAGGGACCUUUAGUGGGUCAUCCAAUUAUGGCAGGGUCAGGAUUAGCUUUGCCUGGCUUCAGUCAUGUUAUCUUUUCUAACCAAAGUGGCCUAUGAUAUUGAGAUUCUUCAUGGGGAAAAAAUGAGCAAUCUUGAUCUUUAUCUGUGCAUCAGUUUUAAGUGGUGAUAUGAUUUUUGAAGAUUUAGGCUGUGGCUUUGAACGAAUGAACUGCUGUUAUUUCAGGAAGUAUGCUAACGUGAACAUGGGACAGUGUUUUCAUAGGGGAGGUGAUAUGGGAAAACUGUAGUAAUGAGGUAAGGAAUUGUACAGAACCUAAAGGAACAAUACCUAUUCUGUUUUGUUGUUGCAGUGGGAGAACUAGGGCAUUUGUAUAUCUUACCAAUUAUAUGUAGAUAUAAAGUUAACAACAGGAACGAAACAGUUUUUAAAUAGU
This 564-nucleotide long non-coding RNA is filed under the name Bos taurus (domestic cattle). RNAcentral's name for it is "long non-coding RNA NONBTAT019840". Lineage: Eukaryota; Metazoa; Chordata; Mammalia; Artiodactyla; Bovidae. The record is from RNAcentral.